RNAcentral lists this ribosomal RNA (253 nucleotides) under uncultured bacterium. RNAcentral describes it as "partial 16S ribosomal RNA". It matches the Rfam family "Bacterial small subunit ribosomal RNA", at positions 524 to 776 of the family's 1533-position model. The record is from RNAcentral.
UACGUAGGGCGCAAGCGUUGUCCGGAAUUAUUGGGCGUAAAGAGCUCGUAGGCGGCCUGUUGCGUCCGCUGUGAAAUCCCGGGGCUCAACCCCGGGCCUGCAGUGGAUACGGGCUGGCUAGAGGCAGGCAGGGGAGAACGGAAUUCCUGGUGUAGCGGUGAAAUGCGCAGAUAUCAGGAGGAACACCGGUGGCGAAGGCGGUUCUCUGGGCCAAUACUGACGCUGAGCCGCGAAAGCGUGGGGAGCGAGCCGG